UACGUAGGGUGCAUGCGUUGUCCGGAAUUAUUGGGCGUAAAGAGCUCGUAGGCGGUUUGUUGCGUCGGCUGUGAAAUCCCGAGGCUCAACCUCGGGUCUGCAGUCGAUACGAGCAAACUAGAGUGUUGCAGGGGAGACUGGAAUUCCUGGUGUAGCGGUGAAAUGCGCAGAUAUCAGGAGGAACACCGGUGGCGAAGGCGGGUCUCUGGGCAACAACUGACGCUGAGGAGCGAAAGCGUGGGGAGCGAACAGG
RNAcentral lists this ribosomal RNA (253 nucleotides) under uncultured bacterium. RNAcentral's name for it is "partial 16S ribosomal RNA". It matches the Rfam family "Bacterial small subunit ribosomal RNA", at positions 524 to 776 of the family's 1533-position model. The record is from RNAcentral.